UACGUAGGGUGCGAGCGUUAUCCGGAAUUACUGGGCGUAAAGCGCGCGCAGGCGGUUUUGCAAGUCAGAUGUGAAAUCCCCGGGCUUAACCUGGGAAUGGCAUUUGGGACUGCAAGGCUUGAGUGCGGCAGAGGAGACUGGAAUUCCUGGUGUAGCAGUGAAAUGCGUAGAUAUCAGGAGGAACACCGAUGGCGAAGGCAGGUCUCUGGGCUGACACUGACGCUCAUGCACGAAAGCGUGGGGAGCAAACAGG
This 253-nucleotide ribosomal RNA is filed under the name uncultured bacterium. RNAcentral describes it as "partial 16S ribosomal RNA". It matches the Rfam family "Bacterial small subunit ribosomal RNA", at positions 524 to 776 of the family's 1533-position model. The record is from RNAcentral.